RNAcentral lists this ribosomal RNA (253 nucleotides) under uncultured bacterium. RNAcentral's name for it is "partial 16S ribosomal RNA". It matches the Rfam family "Bacterial small subunit ribosomal RNA", at positions 524 to 776 of the family's 1533-position model. The record is from RNAcentral.
UACGAAGGGUGCAAGCGUUACUCGGAAUUACUGGGCGUAAAGCGUGCGUAGGUGGUUUGUUAAGUCUGUUGUGAAAGCCCCGGGCUCAACCUGGGAAUGGCAAUGGAUACUGGCAAGCUAGAGUGCGGUAGAGGGUAGUGGAAUUCCCGGUGUAGCGGUGAAAUGCGUAGAGAUCGGGAGGAACACCAGUGGCGAAGGCGGCCCCCUGGUUGGAUACUGACGCUGAUACGCGAAAGCGUGGGGAGCAAACAGG